This 20-nucleotide non-coding RNA is filed under the name Rattus norvegicus (Norway rat). The record is from RNAcentral. Lineage: Eukaryota; Metazoa; Chordata; Mammalia; Rodentia; Muridae.
UCGACUCCCACAAUUUAUGC